AAUUGAGAGUGGCGAACGGGUGCGUAACGCGUAUGCAACCUACCCUAUACAGGGGGAUAGCCCGGAGAAAUCUGGAUUAAUACCCCAUGGUACCAAGUUGAGGCAUUUUGAUUUGGUUAAAGAUUCAUCGGUAUAGGAUGGGCAUGCGUCUGAUUAGCUAGUUGGCGGUGUAACGGACCACCAAGGCGACGAUCAGUAGGGGUUCUGAGAGGAAGGUCCCCCACACUGGCACUGAGAUACGGGCCAGACUCCUACGGGAGGCAGCAGUAGGGAAUAUUGGGCAAUGGACGAGAGUCUGACCCAGCCAUGCCGCGUGCAGGAAGACGGCGUUCUGCGUUGUAAACUGCUUUUAUCUGGGAAGAAAAUGCCCUUGCGAGGGAAAUUGCCGGUACCAGAUGAAUAAGCACCGGCUAACUCCGUGCCAGCAGCCGCGGUAAUACGGAGGGUGCAAGCGUUGUCCGGAUUUAUUGGGUUUAAAGGGUGCGUAGGCGGCUAUUUAAGUCAGUGGUGAAAGACUCCGGCUCAACCGGAGCAGUGCCAUUGAUACUGGAUAGCUUGAGUAUUGGAGGGGUACAUGGAAUUGAUGGUGUAGCGGUGAA
RNAcentral lists this ribosomal RNA (599 nucleotides) under Algoriphagus aquimarinus. RNAcentral's name for it is "bacterial SSU rRNA". It matches the Rfam family "Bacterial small subunit ribosomal RNA", at positions 87 to 685 of the family's 1533-position model. The record is from RNAcentral. Lineage: Bacteria; Pseudomonadati; Bacteroidota; Cytophagia; Cytophagales; Cyclobacteriaceae.